RNAcentral lists this ribosomal RNA (253 nucleotides) under uncultured bacterium. Its description in RNAcentral is "partial 16S ribosomal RNA". It matches the Rfam family "Bacterial small subunit ribosomal RNA", at positions 524 to 776 of the family's 1533-position model. The record is from RNAcentral.
GACGAGGGACCUAGCGUUGUUCGGAAUCAUUGGGCGUAAAGGGUGCGUAGGUGGCCAUGUAAGUCAGUUGUGAAAUCCCCGGGCUCAACCCGGGAAGUGCUUCUGAUACUGCUUGGCUUGAAGUAUUGGAGAGGUGAGUGGAAUUCCAGGUGUAGUGGUGAAAUACGUAGAUAUCUGGAGGAACACCGGCGGCGAAGGCGGCUCACUGGCCAUAUAUUGACACUGAAGCACGAAAGCGUGGGGAGCAAACAGG